RNAcentral lists this ribosomal RNA (510 nucleotides) under uncultured bacterium. Its description in RNAcentral is "partial 16S ribosomal RNA". The record is from RNAcentral.
GGAGUUAGCCGGUGCUUCUUCUGCGAGUAACGUCACAGAUGUAAGGUAUUAACUUACACCCUUUCCUCCUCGCUGAAAGUGCUUUACAACCCGAAGGCCUUCUUCACACACGCGGCAUGGCUGCAUCAGGGUUUCCCCCAUUGUGCAAUAUUCCCCACUGCUGCCUCCCGUAGGAGUCUGGGCCGUGUCUCAGUCCCAGUGUGGCUGAUCAUCCUCUCAGACCAGCUAGGGAUCGUCGCCUAGGUGAGCCUUUACCUCACCUACUAGCUAAUCCCACCUGGGCUUAUCCAUCAGCGCAAGGCCCGAAGGUCCCCUGCUUUCCCCCGUAGGGCGUAUGCGGUAUUAGCAGUCGUUUCCAACUGUUAUCCCCACAAAUGGGCAAAUUCCCAGGCAUUACUCACCCGUCCGCCGCUCGUCAUCUUCAAAAGCAAGCUUUUGAAAUGUUACCGCUCGACUUGCAUGUGUUAGGCCUGCCGCCAGCGUUCAAUCUGAGCAUGAUACAACUACUGA